Long non-coding RNA from Brassica rapa (field mustard), 1331 nucleotides. RefSeq lists it as uncharacterized. NCBI's taxonomy places the organism in Eukaryota, Viridiplantae, Streptophyta, Magnoliopsida, Brassicales, Brassicaceae. The record is from RefSeq and is a predicted model, not a curated record.
UGGGCUUUACGGGUUUAAUUGUAGUGGCUCCCGACAUUCAUUAAGUGCCCAAUUGAAAUUAAUAGCCACGCUCUUCGUCUUCAAGGAAUUGCGACUCCAUUUCUAGGGUUUAUUUUGUUCUUCAGCCUCUGAUUUUAUCGUCCUUCUUCUUCGAUCUCUAACAAUGGAGUUCCAGGAUGGUGUGAUAGUCGAAUCGUCAUUAGAAAUCUUUGGGUCGAGCUUUGUUGGCGUCGUUUCGUGUUAGGUUCUUCUCUCUCAAACAUAACGGGAUCCAUUAAGGUCGCCAUUAACAGCCAUCUUUACUCCUUCAACCCACAGAUCAAUCGUUCAAUGCAUAUUAUCUCUCUGGAGGCGGUGGAUAUACACCUAUAAAAGGAGCCUCUGCUAACUGGAUCGUUCCUCUGUGCCCAUCAUAUUGGUAAUGCCUGAUUGAUCAGGCAAUAAGCUUUAUAAUCAAGUACGAAGCCAUGGAUAAAGAUUACUAGGGAGAUCAAGCGUUGAUCAUAGGUGGAGCAAUAGAGUUUGUGAGAGAGCUGGAGCACCUUCUACAAUGCCUAGAGUUAAUAAAAGCGUCGGAGAAUCCUUGGAGAAACCGUUAAUAGGCAAAUUAGAGACAUGACCACGACAAUGUCUUCUUCUUCACUAAUAACUUCAGUUGCUUACCCGGUAAUUAUUUCUGGAAAUGUAACUGAACAGAGGGUGGCGGAGGAGGCCUCGGUAGGAAACAGCACAAAAGCCCGUGCUUGCCUGAUGUGGAGGUGAAGCUGCUAAGGUUUGAUGCCAUGAUCAAGAUACUUUCAAGAAGAAGACCAGACAACUGAUACUAUUGCUGUUUUGGAGGAUCUUUAUCUCUCUAUUCUUCACACAAACUUCACUACCAUGGAACAAACCGUCAUGUACUUUAAUGGCAAGGCAAAUUUCACCUUCGUAAAUUAUAAUCAUACGCAUUUAUAUGUAUAGUACAUCCUACAUAUAAAGUUUCUUACCAUAUGAUUGGAUUGCUUUAAUUAAAAUAUGCAUAUUAUAGUAAGCUACAAGGAAAAGUGGACGUUGAAGGUUUCCUCCCAGCACAAACUGCCAUAGACGCAAUUAAGGACUCCAUGGAUCUUUACGCAGCUUACAUCAAAGCUGUCUUGCAACGUUAAUGAACAUACCAGUCAAAUCCGUUCCUCCAGGUUUGCUUUCAUACCUUCUCAGGUUCUCUGGAGAACAUCCUGUUUAUGAAUUUGAAUUUAAUCCAUUUCGUUUAGAUUCAAGGUCUUAUGUUGAAAUCCGUAUGAAUUUUAGUCAACACGGAUCUGUGCGGAUCGUUGUCAAUCAAGAUAAGAAAA